CUUUGAGUUGGAGAGGAAACGCAACAGGCCUGAGAGAUAUGAUAGGAAUUGUUACAGAGUGCACACUAAAGGCCAUUAAGAAGAUUGACAAAAUCAGAGUGGCUAGAGAGGCUAGACACCAUGCUAUGAGGAUGAAGGCAAGAAAGCCAUUGAGCAGCAGGCAGCAGCUAAGGAGUUGGAGCAGAAUAUUCAUUUGGUCAAAGCACCUGCUGCCCUCCAAGAGGAUCCUUCCCUCACUCUUCCAAAGAUGAAAAUAAAGGUUUCUCCAAUCACAAACGGAGGACCGCAUGGAAGAAUAAUGUGAAUGCAGGCAAUCCUCUCACAUGGUGGCAUAGAAAACUCAAUUCAACACCUUCUUAUGCUAUAAUUAGUUUAUUAUGGUGCCUGUGGUUGGUAAAAUGCAGUACUUGAUAGGAUGGAACGUUAGAUAGAUUUAUCCGCUUAGCUGAAAUUGUCAUGUCUGUUUUGGAAGCUUGUUUUAUUUUUUGUUGUGAUAAUGGAAGCUUCAAGAAGGGAUCAUAUUCGCUGGUACAUUGGACUUGAUGAAAAUAUACCUGUAUUUUGCAUGUUAUUAAGCAUCGAGAGAAUAGUGGUUCACUGGAUUGCUAUGA
Non-coding RNA from Phoenix dactylifera (date palm), 611 nucleotides. NCBI's taxonomy places the organism in Eukaryota, Viridiplantae, Streptophyta, Magnoliopsida, Arecales, Arecaceae. The record is from RefSeq and is a predicted model, not a curated record.